CCAAACCCUCCCCUGACCCGGACGAGUUACACUAAAUACACCACCUAUUCCCUGAUGACCGAUGACACCAAUGAGAUUGUGCAGACUGAACUGAUACAGUUACAGGUCACAGAGGCACCCAGCUCUGUUACGAUGGAGGCAAUUGGCUUCAAGUGGGCCCUGACAGAGCUGUUGGACAACAUGGGUCUCCAAGUGGAUGUGGUCACAACUGAACGAUGAGGGAGCACUUCUCUGACAUCCAACAUGAGCUCGAUGUGUGGCACACAGUGAAAGGAGCACAUCUGUGACGUACACAGCUGGACAGAGGGGAGGGGGAAGUUCACUGUCAACACCCUGACCUGUCUGAUGAUGACCAUGGCAAGAAGAAGUGGCUUUCCAUGGACUCAGUUAUCACACAGGUCACCCCAAAGCGGCAGCAUUUUGGGCUCCUGGGCAUGAAGGAGCGGACACAUCUUGCUAUCCUGGAUUAUAAUGAGAAUGUGGGACGCAAACAAGCCAGGAUAGCCAAAGGACACCUGCAGUACAAACACAUCUUCCUCAAGAGGUCAAAGCAGUGGGUGGGAGAGGCAUGCUCCCCAAACCCAACAUCCCUUCUAACAUCGCUACAGCACUAAUGCCUGCUAACCAGCUGCCAUUGCCCAACACAAGAACAGUUUCACCAGCUUAAGAACAUUCAGGACCCUGCCUGGAACAUUCAGUCAACAUGGUUCUAAGCAGACAUAUGGAAUUGUUUUAAGAUGGUCAUACUAUGGAUCAUUUAGCUAUUUGAUUUAGAAUUUUAU
Non-coding RNA from Salvelinus sp. IW2-2015, 782 nucleotides. Lineage: Eukaryota; Metazoa; Chordata; Actinopteri; Salmoniformes; Salmonidae. The record is from RefSeq and is a predicted model, not a curated record.